GACGAACGCUGGCGGCGUGAUUAACACAUGCAAGUCGAACGGAAAGGCCCUGCUUUUGUGGGGUGCUCGAGUGGCGAACGGGUGAGUAACACGUGAGUAACCUGCCCUUGACUUUGGGAUAACUUCAGGAAACUGGGGCUAAUACCGGAUAGGAGCUCCUGCUGCAUGGUGGGGGUUGGAAAGUUUCGGCGGUUGGGGAUGGACUCGCGGCUUAUCAGCUUGUUGGUGGGGUAGUGGCUUACCAAGGCUUUGACGGGUAGCCGGCCUGAGAGGGUGACCGGCCACAUUGGGACUGAGAUACGGCCCAGACUCCUACGGGAGGCAGCAGUGGGGAAUAUUGCACAAUGGGCGGAAGCCUGAUGCAGCAACGCCGCGUGCGGGAUGACGGCCUUCGGGUUGUAAACCGCUUUCGCCUGUGACGAAGCGUGAGUGACGGUAAUGGUAAAGAAGCACCGGCUAACUACGUG
Molecule: ribosomal RNA, 467 nt
Filed under: uncultured bacterium
Lineage: Bacteria
Description: partial 16S ribosomal RNA
Rfam family: Bacterial small subunit ribosomal RNA
Source: RNAcentral